This is a non-coding RNA of Oryza meridionalis, 107 nucleotides long. NCBI's taxonomy places the organism in Eukaryota, Viridiplantae, Streptophyta, Magnoliopsida, Poales, Poaceae. The record is from Rfam.
AUCCCAUGAUGAGGACAUGCGGCCAUGUAUUCCUGAAGUCAUUCCCACGCCUCAGGAAUGGACUCAUCCCUCGUCUGCUGAAAACUAGAAAUCCUCCCAUGAAGAGC